RNAcentral lists this long non-coding RNA (205 nucleotides) under Elaeis guineensis (African oil palm). Its description in RNAcentral is "long non-coding RNA (EGUI_LNC054773)". The record is from RNAcentral. Lineage: Eukaryota; Viridiplantae; Streptophyta; Magnoliopsida; Arecales; Arecaceae.
UACUUAAUAUAAGUUCUACUUGCAUUAGGUUUCCUUAUAACUUAAGUUAUUUGACUUCCUUUAGGAAACCUAUUAGGCACCAACAAUUGGAGUCCUUGCACCCACAAAAUCACACACACUUUUGCACCCAAGGGACACCCCAUAAAGGAUCCACACGCCCUCUAAUAGGUGGAGAUACCCAACUUGAUCAAAUCAAGUGACACCC